Folsomia candida is the source of this 1934-nucleotide long non-coding RNA. RefSeq lists it as uncharacterized. The record is from RefSeq and is a predicted model, not a curated record. NCBI's taxonomy places the organism in Eukaryota, Metazoa, Arthropoda, Collembola, Entomobryomorpha, Isotomidae. The transcript has 3 exons.
AUUAAAAAUAUGUUCAUUGAUCACGUAUAUUUAGAGAGGCCUGUGUUAAGUAUCUGAAUAAGUCACCAUUCGAUGUGUAUAAAACAAAAUCGUGCAUUUUCUAUUUUUCUGCUAAAGUUUGAAAUCCUAGGAGAAGAAUAAGGUUAGCGGGGAAGUUUUGAAAACCCACGAGUCUUGUCAAUGCAUCAUGCCAUCCGAAACCGACCAAGUUGCGACAUAUGUCACCGGGUGUGUUCUACGCCAUCCAACUUACGGAAACAUGUUAACACCGUCCACAACAAAACCGAACGACCUCGUUUUCCAUGCGGAUUUCCCGGAUGCGGAAAAACCUACUCGAGCAAGAAUGCUUUGUCAAUCCACAUGAGAGCUGAACAUGCCGAAAAUCCGACCCGAUUCCCGUGCACACUUUGCGGGAAAGAAUGCAAGGCCAAAAGCGACCUUGAGAGACACAUCUCCACCCACACGACGGAAAAGACGUACACUUGCUCCACUUGUGGAAGGAGCUUUGGCCAUCGGACAACUCUUACACGUCACGAGGUUACACAUUUGGAAACAUCGACCAGAAGGAUUUUCAAGUGUGAACUUUGUCCUCACGCUUCUUUUCGUAAAGCUCACCUACAAACACAUGUCCAAUCUGUGCAUGAAAAUCAGAGGAACCAUCCCUGUCAAUUCUGUGGCAAGAGAUUAUCGACAUCGAGCAAUAUGAGAAAUCACGUGGAAGCGAGACAUCCGGCGAGUAAAAGGAAGAUUUAUUCCUGCGAGAAAUGCGAAUUCAUAACCCAUUCUAAACAAAGUUUAUCCAAUCAUGAGAGACGUCACAAUCCUGCGAAUCGACGAGACUGCUACUUCUGCAAGAAGCAGUUUUUCUUUUUUUCUGAAUUGGUGACACACUUUCGUCGUCACACGCUUGAACAAUGAUAAGGCAGGAACUUUGUUUCUUUUCUAUUGUCUGUUUAAAUCUUAGAGUGACGAUAUGAUCAAAGUAGGGUCCUUUGACUUUAUCUUUGGAGAAGGACAAGUUAACUUUUUGGGGACUGGUGGGCAUUUGAUUUUUUUGCACAUGAUUUGCUCUUAACUAUUGACUUCCUGGCGCACCUACUACCCUUGUAAGUCAAAUGAAAUAAUAACCCCAAUGGGGGGUUCCACACUUUUUUAACCAGAAAUCACAAAAGUAAAUAAAUAAAUAAAUUGAAAAAAAUCAUUAACUUUGGCCUAUAUUUAAAUAUUUUUUCUUCCCCUAUGAGAUGUUUGAUUAGGACUGUAUUUUUAUUGACCUUAUGUAAGUACCUUUAUUUCCCUAAUUGGUUGUAUUCAGAGAUUUGUAACCGGUUUGGAAAUAUUAGCCCGGAAGGCGUAGAAAGCUAAAGUGUCAAAAUUUUCGGUUUUCGAGCCCCAAAAGUGGUUGGAGGGAACUUUUUUCAACUUUAUAUUAGUUAUUUAUUAUUGCCCUAUAGUAAUCUUUAAAAUUAAAUAAUAAAAAGCCGUGGCCCGCCAGCACACAAAAAGAUCACUACUCCUUUCUAGGCAGGGUCAUGUCAGUUCAAAAUUUCUUCAAUUUCUUUACAGAUUUUAAAGUUUGAAAAUAUGGAUGAUUUAUGCUGAAAGAGUUUGGUUGUAAAGUAAAAUAAAAUACCCUACAUAACGUCAAAAGAUUCUAACAAUUUAAUUUAACGGCAAAUUAAAAUAGUUAUAAAAUAAUUGAACUAAUAGUUAAAUCCGGAUCAAAAAUGGCACGUAAAAAUUAUUCGCGUAAAAAUUAUUUGUGAGGUUUUGUGGAAUAUUUUAUUUUUUUGACAACCAAACUCUCCCAGCAUAAAUGGAUUUUUAAAAUACAAGUUUACAGGAAAAUGUCCUUAACACAUGCGCAUGUAAUUACCAAUCCACUUGUAUUAUCGUAUUGAAAUUGUGUUUUUAAAAAGUUUCGAUGAAUAAAA